AGGACGAACGCUGGCGGCGUGCUUAACACAUGCAAGUCGAACGGUGAAGCCCUUCGGGGUGGAUCAGUGGCGAACGGGUGAGUAACACGUGGGCAAUCUGCCCUGCAUUCUGGGACAAGCCUUGGAAACGAGGUCUAAUACCGGAUACGACGCAUCUCCGCAUGGAGUGUGCGUGAAAGCUCCGGCGAUGCAGGAUGAGCCCGCGGCCUAUCAGCUUGUUGGUGGGUAAUGGCCUACCAAGGCGACGACGGGUA
RNAcentral lists this ribosomal RNA (254 nucleotides) under uncultured bacterium. Its description in RNAcentral is "partial small subunit ribosomal RNA". It matches the Rfam family "Bacterial small subunit ribosomal RNA", at positions 26 to 285 of the family's 1533-position model. The record is from RNAcentral.